CCCGUCGAAACCCUAAGGACUCCUGAGCAAGGCUCGUCCCCUCAGGGAAAGUCGGGACCUAAGCCAAGGCCGAAAGGCGUAGGCGAUGGAUAACAGGUUUAUAUUCCUGUACCGCUUGAAGUCGUUAAGAGAGAAGUGAUGACGCAAAAGGAUAAGCAAAGCCAUCAGAUGGAAAAGAUGGUCUAAAGCCGUAGGAAGAAAAGUAGGCAAAUCCGCUUUUCACAAAUUCUAAAAGCCGAUAGGUAUCGAAAACAUAAGUAGAGAAGUUGCCGAUUCCAGGUUGCCAAGAAAAGUCACUAUCCAGACCAAAGCGCCCGUACCAAAACCGACACAGGUAGGGAGGUAGAGAAUACCAAGACGCGCGGAAGAACCUUUGUUAAGGAACUCGGCAAAAUGUCCCCGUAACUUCGGGAGAAGGGGAGCCUGAGCAAUCAGGCCACAGAAACCAGGCCCAAGCGACUGUUUACCAAAAACACAAGUUUCUGCAAAAUCGCAAGAUGAAGUAUAGGAGCUGACACCUGCCCGGUGCUGGAAGGUUAAGGGGAAGGCUUAGAGCAAUCGAAGGCUAGAACUUAAGCCCCAGUAAACGGCGGCCGUAACUAUAACGGUCCUAAGGUAGCGAAAUUCCUUGUCGGGUAAGUUCCGACCCGCACGAAAGGUGUAACGAUUUGGGCACUGUCUCAACAAAGGAUCCGGUGAAAUUGUAGUAGUCGUGAAGAUGCGACUUACCCACGCUAGGACGGAAAGACCCCGUGGAGCUUUACUGUAGGCUGAUAUUGGAUUUUGAGAUUAAAUGUACAGGAUAGUUGGGAGACUGAGAUAUCUGGAUGCCAAUCUAGGAGGAGUCACUGGUGGGAUACCAACCUUUUAAUAUCAAAGUUCUAACCAUAGCCCUUGAAUCAGGGCAUGGGACAUUGUCAGUUGGGCAGUUUGACUGGGGCGGUCGCCUCCUAAAAAGUAACGGAGGCGUUCAAAGGUUCGCUCAGAAUGGACGGAAACCAUUCGCAGAGUAUAAAGGCAAAAGCGAGCUUAACUGCGAGAGCUACAACUCAAGCAGAGUCGAAAGACGGACUUAGUGAUCCGGUGGUACCGCAUGGAAGGGCCAUCGCUCAACGGAUAAAAGCUACCCCGGGGAUAACAGGCUUAUCUCCCCCAAGAGUCCACAUCGACGGGGAGGUUUGGCACCUCGAUGUCGGCUCGUCUCAUCCUGGGGCUGGAGUAGGUCCCAAGGGUUGGGCUGUUCGCCCAUUAAAGAGGCACGCGAGCUGGGUUCAGAACGUCGUGAGACAGUUCGGUCCCUAUCCAGCGUGGGCGUAAGAAAUUUGAGAGGAGCUGUCCUUAGUACGAGAGGACCGGGAUGGACGCACCAAUGGUGUACGAGUUGUUAGGCCACUAGCAUGGCUCGGUAGCUAAGUGCGGGAAUGAUAAGUACUGAAAGCAUCUAAGUACGAAGCAUGCCUCAAGAUAAGAUUUCUCAGAGUAGGUAAAGAAAAUACCUUAGAUAGGUCCAAGGUGUAAGUGCAGUAAUGUAUUAAGCUAAUGGAUACUAAACUUUAAAUCUUGACUGG
RNAcentral lists this ribosomal RNA (1568 nucleotides) under Actinomyces sp. RNAcentral's name for it is "partial 23S ribosomal RNA". It matches the Rfam family "Bacterial large subunit ribosomal RNA", at positions 1333 to 2925 of the family's 2925-position model. Lineage: Bacteria; Bacillati; Actinomycetota; Actinomycetes; Actinomycetales; Actinomycetaceae. The record is from RNAcentral.